This 74-nucleotide unclassified non-coding RNA is filed under the name Nitrosomonas europaea. The record is from RNAcentral. Lineage: Bacteria; Pseudomonadati; Pseudomonadota; Betaproteobacteria; Nitrosomonadales; Nitrosomonadaceae.
UACAGGUAUGAAUCGAGAGAUUCACGUACCGUUGCGUGAGAGCCCGAGGAUGAAAUUCCCUUGGGCUACUCGAC